UGAGCAACCUACCCUUGGCUUUGGGAUAACCCCCGGGGAAACCGGGGCUAAUACCGAAUAUUCACUGCCUUACGCAUGUAUAGCAGUGGAAAGUUUUUCGGCUGAGGAUGGGCUCGCGGCCUAUCAGCUUGUUGGUGGGGUGAUGGCCUACCAAGGCGACGACGGGUAGCCGGCCUGAGAGGGCGACCGGCCACACUGGGACUGAGAUACGGCCCAGACUCCUACGGGAGGCAG
RNAcentral lists this ribosomal RNA (234 nucleotides) under uncultured bacterium. Its description in RNAcentral is "partial 16S ribosomal RNA". It matches the Rfam family "Bacterial small subunit ribosomal RNA", at positions 118 to 351 of the family's 1533-position model. The record is from RNAcentral.